Molecule: ribosomal RNA, 500 nt
Filed under: uncultured bacterium
Lineage: Bacteria
Description: partial 16S ribosomal RNA
Rfam family: Bacterial small subunit ribosomal RNA
Source: RNAcentral
AUUGAACGCUGGCGGAAUGCUUUACACAUGCAAGUCGAACGGCAGCACGGACUUCGGUCUGGUGGCGAGUGGCGAACGGGUGAGUAAUGUAUCGGAACGUGCCCAGUCGUGGGGGAUAACGUAGUGAAAAUUACGCUAAUACCGCAUACGAUCUAUGGAUGAAAGCGGGGGAUCGCAAGACCUCGCGCGAUUGGAGCGGCCGAUAUCAGAUUAGGUAGUUGGUGGGGUAAAGGCCCACCAAGCCAACGAUCUGUAGCUGGUCUGAGAGGACGACCAGGCAACCUGGAACUGAGACACGGUCCAGACGCCUACGGGAGUGAGCGGUGGGGAAUUUUGGACAAUCGGCGAUAGCCUGAUCCAGCCAUGCCGGGUGCAGGAUGAAGGCCCUCGGGUUGUAAACUGCUUUUGUACAGAACGAAAAGGUUUCUACUAAUACUAGGAGCUCAUGACGGUACUGUAAGAAUAAGCACCGGCUAACUACGUGCCAGCCGCCGCAGUAA